UGGGGAAUUUUGCACAAUGGGGGAAACCCUGAUGCAGCGACGCCGCGUGAUUUAGAAGGCCUUCGGGUUGUAAAAAUCUUUUCUAUGGGAAGAAAAUGACAGUACCAUAGGAAUAAGGACCGGCUAAUUACGUGCCAGCAGCCGCGGUAAUACGUAAGGUCCGAGCGUUGUCCGGAAUCAUUGGGCGUAAAGGGUACGUAGGCGGGUAAGCAAGUUAGAAGUGAAAUCCUGUAGCUCAACUACAGUAAGCUUUUAAAACUGCUCAUCUUGAGAUAUGGAAGGGAAAGUGGAAUUCCUAGUGUAGCGGUGAAAUGCGUAGAUAUAUGGAGGAACACCAGUGGCGAAGGCGACUCUCUGGUCUGUAACUGACGCUGAGGUUCGAAAGCGUGGGUAGCAAACAGG
RNAcentral lists this ribosomal RNA (402 nucleotides) under Bacteroidota bacterium. Its description in RNAcentral is "Bacteroidetes bacterium partial 16S ribosomal RNA". It matches the Rfam family "Bacterial small subunit ribosomal RNA", at positions 355 to 776 of the family's 1533-position model. The record is from RNAcentral. Lineage: Bacteria; Pseudomonadati; Bacteroidota.